GCCAGGCAUGGUAGUGCACACCUGUAAUCCCAGCAGCUUGGGAGGCUGAGACAGGAGGAUUACAAGUUGCAAAGUCAACCUUAGCAGCUUAGUGAGACCCUAAGCAACUUAGUAGACCCUGUCUCAA
RNAcentral lists this small RNA (127 nucleotides) under Marmota monax (woodchuck). The record is from RNAcentral. Lineage: Eukaryota; Metazoa; Chordata; Mammalia; Rodentia; Sciuridae.